Molecule: long non-coding RNA, 756 nt
Organism: Pieris napi
Lineage: Eukaryota; Metazoa; Arthropoda; Insecta; Lepidoptera; Pieridae
Exons: 2
Source: RefSeq, a predicted model, not a curated record
CACGCAUUAUCAAUUCAAACUUUGUGAUCAGAACUAUCAAGUAGACUCAUAACGUCGCAUUACCGUUGAGCUCUUUUAAUUUGCAACUUCCGUUAUUUGUAUUAGGUAUUUUAGGAAGUUGUACCCACAAAAACAGAAGAAAGGUGGAUAGAAGAAAUAGAAGCAGUAGCAGCGAAGCGAAUGGGGAAAGAAAGCUAUAGACAGAGUCAGUUGGAAAAUGCUGUUCCAGCUUCCGAUGGACGGUACUGAAGGUAGCUAGGAUAUAGGAUAACCAGAUAAAAAUAAUGUAUUAAAUGUAAAAAAAAAUCUAAGCUGUAUAUACACAUUUUUUUAAUCUUGAUUGCAAAUUAAAUGGGCUUUAUUAUUAUUAUAGUUGUACUCAAAUUCCGAAUAUUACAUUUUGCCAUUGAUGCAAUUAUUUUUGUUUUUGAAGAGUUAUGCAUAUUUUCUGUAACUGUUUUACUAUUAAAUUUUCCAGAAAACAAUUGUGUUAUAUGUACAGAAUAUACUAUGCUUCACUCAAGGUCAUCAGGUUGCUAUACUUUUGCAAUAAUAAUAGAAAUAAACACAUUAAUUUAAAUAUACUUGUAGUUCAUGUUAUGGCAUGUUUAAAAUCAUUUUUCUAACUUCUGUAGCAACAAUUGGAUUUAAAGCGCAGAUAUCAUUUUCACUGUAUGGUGGUAGAACUGAAAUGUUACCAACAACAAUAUUCUCUCCUUCUUCUAUUACUGGCAAUAAAUUUUUCUUAAACCAUGA